GGAAGACACCAAAUCCCUGGACAAGAGGAAGACACCAAAUCCCUGGACUCAGGCCUCACAUGAUUGAGCGAGAGGAACUCUGCUGUCAGACCCUACAAUGCACUCUUCAGUGGAAGAGGAUCACAUAUUCCAAACAUACUCCAUCAGGUCAUAUGCUAAAUGACAGGGCUGAGACCUCUCCACAGCACAUCUGAUACUGGGAUCGAUGAAGAUCAGAUGUGCAAAUCACACUGGGCUCCAGAAAGCCCUAGACUGUGUCAUUCAAGAUGUGUGACAUGGAUAAAAAGCUCCCCAUGGUGGAAAGAGGUGUCAUAAAACACCUAGACAAUGAGAGCAAGAUGGGGGAUCCAAAACGGUGCCCUGGCAUCGGCAGGUGGUGAAACCAGCCAUCUGGCCCUGUGCCCUAUCCUCAGAAGUGCCCCUGCCACCCCAACAGGUACAUUUGCUGGUGAGGAAUUUCUUUCAUUUUAGUGUCCUGGGAACCACGUAUUUUCUGUUGGUGGUGUCUCUCUUGCACCAGGUGAAUCUUUGCCUGGCUUACCUGAGACUUAGACCGUCCCAAUUCCAGCCUCCACUGACGCAAACUAGGUUGGUUCACAAUAGGCUGCCAUAAAAUUUCUCAUUUUUUUCUGUGUUUGAAAUGUGUAACUUUUGAUUUACUUCCUAAGUAAGACUUCUUGAGUUGGGAGCUCUAAAAACUUCCAUUAAAAAAUAAUGGAUUUGUCAAACUUUUGAGCAAAGUAUUGAUGGCACUUCUAAAUCUUUGAAUUUAAUUUCUUCUUUUAGGGGACUCUCAGAAAGGGAAAAUAUGAUCUUACUACAUUGACCAUGCAAAUUCUGAGGUUCAUAUUGAAUCUAAAGUCAUUAGAAAAUGUAAAUCUCAAUAAAAUCCCUAAUACUAAAUACUCAUAUAUAUGUAUAUAUUGCCUAUAGACAUGUAGUAUGUAUUCAUGUAUCAUAUAUGUAUAGGUAUAUAUAUAUAUGUUCAUAUGUCAUAUAUUAAAAUAUGUAUGAAUUUAUAAGAUAAACCUGGAAAUUAUUGACACGUUAUAACUAAAUAAAGAAAAUCUUUAACAACC
Long non-coding RNA from Nomascus leucogenys (northern white-cheeked gibbon), 1079 nucleotides. RefSeq lists it as uncharacterized. The transcript has 3 exons. The record is from RefSeq and is a predicted model, not a curated record. NCBI's taxonomy places the organism in Eukaryota, Metazoa, Chordata, Mammalia, Primates, Hylobatidae.